UUUGAUCAUGGCUCAGGAACGAACGCUGGCGGCGUGCCUAAUACAUGCAAGUAGAACGCUGAAGAGAGGAGCUUGCUCUUCUUGGAUGAGUUUGCGAACGGGUGAGUAACGCGUAGGUAACCUGCCUUGUAGCGGGGGAUAACUAUUGGAAACGAUAGCUAAUACCGCAUAACAAUGGAUGACACAUGUCAUUUAUUUGAAAGGGGCAAUUGCUCCACUACAAGAUGGACCUGCGUUGUAUUAGCUAGUAGGUGAGGUAACGGCUCACCUAGGCGACGAUACAUAGCCGACCUGAGAGGGUGAUCGGCCACACUGGGACUGAGACACGGCCCAGACUCCUACGGGAGGCAGCAGUAGGGAAUCUUCGGCAAUGGGGGCAACCCUGACCGAGCAACGCCGCGUGAGUGAAGAAGGUUUUCGGAUCGUAAAGCUCUGUUGUAAGUCAAGAACGAGUGUGAGAGUGGAAAGUUCACACUGUGACGGUAGCUUACCAGAAAGGGACGGCUAACUACGUGCCAGCAGCCGCGGUAAUACGUAGGUCCCGAGCGUUGUCCGGAUUUAUUGGGCGUAAAGCGAGCGCAGGCGGUUUGAUAAGUCUGAAGUUAAAGGCUGUGGCUCAACCAUAGUUCGCUUUGGAAACUGUCAAACUUGAGUGCAGAAGGGGAGAGUGGAAUUCCAUGUGUAGCGGUGAAAUGCGUAGAUAUAUGGAGGAACACCGGUGGCGAAAGCGGCUCUCUGGUCUGUAACUGACGCUGAGGCUCGAAAGCGUGGGGAGCGAACAGGAUUAGAUACCCUGGUAGUCCACGCCGUAAACGAUGAGUGCUAGGUGUUGGAUCCUUUCCGGGAUUCAGUGCCGCAGCUAACGCAUUAAGCACUCCGCCUGGGGAGUACGACCGCAAGGUUGAAACUCAAAGGAAUUGACGGGGGCCCGCACAAGCGGUGGAGCAUGUGGUUUAAUUCGAAGCAACGCGAAGAACCUUACCAGGUCUUGACAUCCCGAUGCUAUUUCUAGAGAUAGAAAGUUACUUCGGUACAUCGGUGACAGGUGGUGCAUGGUUGUCGUCAGCUCGUGUCGUGAGAUGUUGGGUUAAGUCCCGCAACGAGCGCAACCCCUAUUGUUAGUUGCCAUCAUUCAGUUGGGCACUCUAGCGAGACUGCCGGUAAUAAACCGGAGGAAGGUGGGGAUGACGUCAAAUCAUCAUGCCCCUUAUGACCUGGGCUACACACGUGCUACAAUGGUUGGUACAACGAGUUGCGAGUCGGUGACGGCAAGCUAAUCUCUUAAAGCCAAUCUCAGUUCGGAUUGUAGGCUGCAACUCGCCUACAUGAAGUCGGAAUCGCUAGUAAUCGCGGAUCAGCACGCCGCGGUGAAUACGUUCCCGGGCCUUGUACACACCGCCCGUC
Molecule: ribosomal RNA, 1404 nt
Filed under: uncultured bacterium
Lineage: Bacteria
Description: bacterial SSU rRNA
Rfam family: Bacterial small subunit ribosomal RNA
Source: RNAcentral